UAAGUUGCUGGGGCUGAACAUGCCCAAUCUUGUCUGACCUCAGAAGCUAAGGAGGGUUGGGCCUGGCUAGUACCUGGAUAGGGGACUAAGUUGUGGAGGCUGGCCAUGAACUUGU
Molecule: ribosomal RNA, 115 nt
Filed under: Fukomys damarensis (Damara mole-rat)
Lineage: Eukaryota; Metazoa; Chordata; Mammalia; Rodentia; Bathyergidae
Source: RNAcentral